AUAAUGCAGUCGAGCGAACUGAUUAGAAGCUUGCUUCUAUGACGUUAGCGGCGGACGGGUGAGUAACACGUGGGCAACCUGCCUGUAAGACUGGGAUAACUUCGGGAAACCGAAGCUAAUACCGGAUAGGAUCUUCUCCUUCAUGGGAGAUGAUUGAAAGAUGGUUUCGGCUAUCACUUACAGAUGGGCCCGCGGUGCAUUAGCUAGUUGGUGAGGUAACGGCUCACCAAGGCAACGAUGCAUAGCCGACCUGAGAGGGUGAUCGGCCACACUGGGACUGAGACACGGCCCAGACUCCUACGGGAGGCAGCAGUAGGGAAUCUUCCGCAAUGGACGAAAGUCUGACGGAGCAACGCCGCGUGAGUGAUGAAGGCUUUCGGGUCGUAAAACUCUGUUGUUAGGGAAGAACAAGUACGAGAGUAACUGCUCGUACCUUGACGGUACCUAACCAGAAAGCCACGGCUAACUACGUGCCAGCAGCCGCGGUAAUACGUAGGUGGCAAGCGUUAUCCGGAAUUAUUGGGCGUAAAGCGCGCGCAGGCGGUUUCUUAAGUCUGAUGUGAAAGCCCACGGCUCAACCGUGGAGGGUCAUUGGAAACUGGGGAACUUGAGUGCAGAAGAGAAAAGCGGAAUUCCACGUGUAGCGGUGAAAUGCGUAGAGAUGUGGAGGAACACCAGUGGCGAAGGCGGCUUUUUGGUCUGUAACUGACGCUGAGGCGCGAAAGCGUGGGGAGC
Molecule: ribosomal RNA, 735 nt
Filed under: Priestia aryabhattai
Lineage: Bacteria; Bacillati; Bacillota; Bacilli; Caryophanales; Bacillaceae
Description: bacterial SSU rRNA
Rfam family: Bacterial small subunit ribosomal RNA
Source: RNAcentral